UGCCUGGCGUAGUGGUUUGAGUGCUGAACUAGGACUCUGGAGACCAGGGUUCGAAUUCCUGCUUAGCAA
This 69-nucleotide transfer RNA is filed under the name Phrynosoma platyrhinos (Desert horned lizard). RNAcentral's name for it is "tRNA-OTHER". Lineage: Eukaryota; Metazoa; Chordata; Lepidosauria; Squamata; Phrynosomatidae. The record is from RNAcentral.